RNAcentral lists this ribosomal RNA (253 nucleotides) under uncultured bacterium. Its description in RNAcentral is "partial 16S ribosomal RNA". It matches the Rfam family "Bacterial small subunit ribosomal RNA", at positions 524 to 776 of the family's 1533-position model. The record is from RNAcentral.
UACGUAGGGUGCGAGCGUUAAUCGGAAUUACUGGGCGUAAAGUGUGCGCAGGCGGCAGAGCAAGUCGAGUGUGAAAGCCCCGGGCUUAACUUGGGAAUUGCGCUCGAAACUACUUUGCUGGAGUGUGGCAGAGGAAGGUGGAAUUCCACGUGUAGCGGUGAAAUGCGUAGAGAUGUGGAGGAACACCAAUGGCGAAGGCAAUCCCCUGGGCCUGUACUGACGCUCAUGCACGAAAGCGUGGGGAGCAAACAGG